GGAUACUAGAUUCUUUUUUUAUUGUUCCUGGGCUGUAAGGUCAUGAACAUGCUUUUCCUCUGAUGUGGCCUUGCCUGCUAACAGAUUCCUGCUGGCAGACACAUGUUCCCCCCGGCACACAGGGACUGCUCUUCACUGCAGUAAACCCAGGCCGGUCCAACCUGAGAUAUGGAGUGGUAACACAGAUGGGUGGGAGUGGGGAGAAGAAAAGGAAACGAAGGACUGCUCAUGUGCUGUGGUUCUUUAAGGAUUACCCUUUUGAGACAUGGGUCCCAAUUUACAGAGUGAAGUCGAUAUGGAAACCCAGCCGUUGAAACCAUUUACAACACAUAUAGCAUAAAAACCAGCCAGCAACCUAUCAC
RNAcentral lists this long non-coding RNA (362 nucleotides) under Bos taurus (domestic cattle). RNAcentral describes it as "long non-coding RNA NONBTAT023191". The record is from RNAcentral. Lineage: Eukaryota; Metazoa; Chordata; Mammalia; Artiodactyla; Bovidae.